Molecule: ribosomal RNA, 480 nt
Filed under: uncultured bacterium
Lineage: Bacteria
Description: partial 16S ribosomal RNA
Rfam family: Bacterial small subunit ribosomal RNA
Source: RNAcentral
ACGAACGCUGGCGGCAUGGAUUAGGCAUGCAAGUCGAACGGGAUCCGGAGUGUUCAAGUAGCAAUAUGAGAAUAUUCCGGUGAUAGUGGCGCAAGGGUGAGGAACACGUGAGUAACUUGCCCCCAAGUUUGGGAUAGCCCGCCGAAAGGCGGGAUAAUACCAGAUGUGGAUGAGGUUCCGCAUGGAAUCUUUUCCAAAGAUUUAUUGCUUGGGGAUAGGCUCGCGUCCUAUCAGCUAGUUGGUGAGGUAAUGGCUCACCAAGGCUAUGACGGGUAGCUGGUCUGAGAGGAUGGUCAGCCACACUGGGACUGAGACACUGCCCAGACUCCUACGGGAGGCUGCAGUCGAGAAUCUUCCGCAAUGGGCGAAAGCCUGACGGAGCAAUGCCGCGUGAAGGAUGAAGGUCUUCGGAUUGUAAACUUCUGUCACUGGGGACGAAUAAAUGACGGUACCCAGAGAGGAAGCCACGGCUAACUACGU